This 2406-nucleotide long non-coding RNA is filed under the name Brassica rapa (field mustard). RNAcentral describes it as "long non-coding RNA (BRAP_LNC003359)". Lineage: Eukaryota; Viridiplantae; Streptophyta; Magnoliopsida; Brassicales; Brassicaceae. The record is from RNAcentral.
CGAAUUACAGAAUAUUGGAGAAAAAGGCUUACAUGAGAUCAAUAAUAUCUGGCUCGUCUCUGGUAGAAUCUUGAGGUUUUCUUGAGUACAAAGCUGCGUAAAACAAUUGAAAAGAGAUAAAAGUGAUAUAUAGAGUGAGUGUAAGACAAACAAAGACAAGAAAGUGAGCUUUAGACCAUGUAUUCAUCACUAUAUCUAUAAGCAAAGAUGAUAUCAGGAAACUCUUCCAAAACCGCAGCCGAACAUGAAUCCAUAAAAAAAAUUUGAUUCUUGCUUUUGCUGAUUCCAGUGAAAUGGUUAACACUUUUUUUUUUUGUAAAAUUUCUUUGGAAUAUAAAUAUCAUUAAAAAUCUGAUUUUUAUAGUGAAAUUGAUAAAUGGUAAAAUAUUAAAAAACAAAUUCUUUCAGCUUCUAUAUGAAAUACCUACAAAUUCUCAUUUAUUUUUUGGUUAUUUCACGUUAUUGUACAAUAACACAGAAGUAUGCAAAUUUGUUAUUUUUAUUUACUAAUCUAGUACACCUUAUUACACAACAAUCACCAACAAAAUUAUGAAUAUUGUAAUUCUUUUCAUUGAUAAAGUGGUAGUAUUAUUGCAAUAUUAUAAAUAUUAUUUGAGUUUCAACAUAGAUAAAAAUCAACAAUGAUAAUCGCACCUGCAUUGCAUGUGUCCUUGGCAUGUAUCAAUGCAUCUACCUCAGUUAUAUUUAAGAUAAAUGUGAUUCUUGCUUUUGUUAAUUCCAAUGAAAUGGUUAACACUUUUUUUUGUUAAAUCUCUUUGAAAUAUAAAUUUCUUAAUAAAUCUGAUUUUGAUUGUGAAAAUGAUAAAUGGUUAAAUGUUAAAAUAAAAAAUUUCUUUCAGCUUCUAUAUGAAAUAACUGCUAAUUCUCAUUUAAUGUUUUUCGGUUAUUUUACGUUAUUGUACAAAAAGACAGAAAUAUGUGAAUUUGGAUUUAUAUUUAGUAAUCUAGUACACCUUAUUACACAUCAAUCACCAACAAAAUUCUUAAUAUUUAAAUUCUAUUCAUUGAUAAUGAGGCUGUAUUAUUGUAUUAUUAUAAAUAUUAUUUGAGUUUCAACGUAGAUAAAAAUCAACAAUGAUAAUCGCAUCUGCAUUGCAUGUGUCCUUUGCCAGUAUCAAUGCAUCUAGCUAGCCCUCCUUUUCUGUUUUUGGCACAUUGGGCUUUACAUUGGUCGAUAACGCAUUUUCCAUUUGGGUCCGGGUAUUGUUCAACACAUUGUUUUCGGACUGGUCCUCCUUUUUGAGCAUUCGCUACUACUCCUGUUUUUAAUAAUUAAAACAUAAUUUUAGUUUUUUUGUAUUUAGAAUAUAAAUUUCUUUUUAUUAACAUAUGCUUGGCGGAAUUUUUUUUGUAUAUUUGUUGACUAAUUUGAAAGUUUAAGCAACUUUUUCUUGAUCAUUGAUUAUUCUUGGAAAAUAUCAAACUCAAUAUUACAGAAUAGACACACAAGUGAUAUGAGUAUAUUAAAUAAUACGGCAUCAAAAUAAAUUUAUUUAGAAUAUAUUAAUAAAUUAGCUGUAAAUACGUACCAAGCAGAAGAAUUGUGAGCAUGACGAGACCAAUAAGCGAUGAUCGAUAAUAAAUUUUCAUCUUAUUUUUUUUUUUGUUUUCUGACAGAAUAAAUUAAACAAUGAAUUAAUAGUGUUUUAAAAUUAAGAAAGACCGAGAAGUAUAUUUAUAGAUCAAUCACAAAAUUAAAUAUAUCUAAAUUAAGUUAAGUGGCGUUUAAAAUGCCAAAAUAUAAGGAUCUAGUUUGACUCCAAAAAAUGACAAUUCUAAUUUUAUUUAUUUAAUAGAUAAAAAGUUUGACUCAUUUAUUUUAAAUUUUAUUGAAAAUAUUUACCGAUAUACGUAAGAAAUCAAAUUCUAUGAAGUCACAAAUUGAAAAUUUAUACAAUACCUAGUUAAAAAAAAAAGAAACCAAAAAAUAAAUGAUUAAUGGUAAUUUGGUCUAAUAAAGUAAAAAUUCAUUUUUAAAGUGAAAUAUAAAUACAUUAUAUAUAUAUAUAUAUAUAUAUAUCUUUAUAUACAUUUUUAACAAUAUUACAUAUAUAAGUGACACGUAAGAAAAGUUACAUAAACAAAAGUCCUUUUGGUACGGUGGUUUGAUAAAGGGUUCAUUAAUGUUUCUACACCAGGAGGUCUGAGUUUCAAUAUCCGAAGAAAGCGAUUUACAGAAUAUUGGAGAAAAAGGCUUACAUGAGAUCAAUAAUAUCUGGCUCGUCUCUUGUAGAAUCUUGAGGUUUUCUUGAGUACAAAGCUGCGUAAAACAAUUGAAAAGAGAUAAAGGUGAUAUAUAGAGUGAGUGUAAGACAAACAAAGACAAGAAAGUGAGCUUUAGACCAUGUAUUCAUCACUAUAUCUAUAAGCAAAGAUGAUAUCAGG